Molecule: ribosomal RNA, 1454 nt
Filed under: uncultured bacterium
Lineage: Bacteria
Description: bacterial SSU rRNA
Rfam family: Bacterial small subunit ribosomal RNA
Source: RNAcentral
CUAGCUACAGGCUUAACACAUGCAAGUCGAGGGGCAGCAUGGUCUUAGCUUGCUAAGGCCGAUGGCGACCGGCGCACGGGUGAGUAACACGUAUCCAACCUGCCGUCUACUCUUGGACAGCCUUCUGAAAGGAAGAUUAAUACAAGAUGGCAUCAUGAGUCCGCAUGUUCACAUGAUUAAAGGUAUUCCGGUAGACGAUGGGGAUGCGUUCCAUUAGAUAGUAGGCGGGGUAACGGCCCACCUAGUCUUCGAUGGAUAGGGGUUCUGAGAGGAAGGUCCCCCACAUUGGAACUGAGACACGGUCCAAACUCCUACGGGAGGCAGCAGUGAGGAAUAUUGGUCAAUGGGCGAGAGCCUGAACCAGCCAAGUAGCGUGAAGGAUGACUGCCCUAUGGGUUGUAAACUUCUUUUAUAAAGGAAUAAAGUCGGGUAUGCAUACCCGUUUGCAUGUACUUUAUGAAUAAGGAUCGGCUAACUCCGUGCCAGCAGCCGCGGUAAUACGGAGGAUCCGAGCGUUAUCCGGAUUUAUUGGGUUUAAAGGGAGCGUAGAUGGAUGUUUAAGUCAGUUGUGAAAGUUUGCGGCUCAACCGUAAAAUUGCAGUUGAUACUGGAUAUCUUGAGUGCAGUUGAGGCAGGCGGAAUUCGUGGUGUAGCGGUGAAAUGCUUAGAUAUCACGAAGAACUCCGAUUGCGAAGGCAGCCUGCUAAGCUGCAACUGACAUUGAGGCUCGAAAGUGUGGGUAUCAAACAGGAUUAGAUACCCUGGUAGUCCACACGGUAAACGAUGAAUACUCGCUGUUUGCGAUAUACAGCAAGCGGCCAAGCGAAAGCGUUAAGUAUUCCACCUGGGGAGUACGCCGGCAACGGUGAAACUCAAAGGAAUUGACGGGGGCCCGCACAAGCGGAGGAACAUGUGGUUUAAUUCGAUGAUACGCGAGGAACCUUACCCGGGCUUAAAUUGCAGAUGAAUUACGGUGAAAGCCGUAAGCCGCAAGGCAUCUGUGAAGGUGCUGCAUGGUUGUCGUCAGCUCGUGCCGUGAGGUGUCGGCUUAAGUGCCAUAACGAGCGCAACCCUUGUUGUCAGUUACUAACAGGUCAUGCUGAGGACUCUGACAAGACUGCCAUCGUAAGAUGUGAGGAAGGUGGGGAUGACGUCAAAUCAGCACGGCCCUUACGUCCGUGGCUACACACGUGUUACAAUGGGGGGUACAGAGGGCCGCUACCACGCGAGUGGAUGCCAAUCCCAAAAACCUCUCUCAGUUCGGACUGGAGUCUGCAACCCGACUCCACGAAGCUGGAUUCGCUAGUAAUCGCGCAUCAGCCACGGCGCGGUGAAUACGUUCCCGGGCCUUGUACACACCGCCCGUCAAGCCAUGGGAGCUGUGUGUACCUGAGGGGCGUAAACACGAGCACCGGUCGUUGGACAACCUCGUGACUGGAGCUAAGUCGUAACAA